CAGCCGCCACGGGAAUACGAGGGGCGCAAGCGUUAUUCGGAUUGAUUGGGUGUAAAGGGUGUGCAGACGGCUUAUUAAGUCACUUGUUAAAUUCUUCGGCCUAACUGAAGGUCUGCAAGUGAUACUGAUGAGCUAGAGGGUGGAAGAGAGAAGUGGAAUUCUCGGAGUAGCGGUAAAAUGCGUAGAUCUCGAGAGGAACACCAAUGGCGAAGGCAGCUUCUUGGUCCAUUCCUGACGUUCAUACACGAAAGCGUGGGGAGCAAACGGGAUUAGAUACCCCGGUAGUCCCUGUCUCUUAUAC
RNAcentral lists this ribosomal RNA (301 nucleotides) under uncultured bacterium. RNAcentral describes it as "partial 16S ribosomal RNA". It matches the Rfam family "Bacterial small subunit ribosomal RNA", at positions 509 to 807 of the family's 1533-position model. The record is from RNAcentral.